This 1406-nucleotide ribosomal RNA is filed under the name uncultured bacterium. Its description in RNAcentral is "16S ribosomal RNA". It matches the Rfam family "Bacterial small subunit ribosomal RNA". The record is from RNAcentral.
AGAGUUUGAUCCUGGCUCAGGAUGAACGCUAGCGACAGGCCUAACACAUGCAAGUCGAGGGGCAUCGGGGCGAGGAGCAAUCCUUGCCGCCGGCGACCGGCGCACGGGUGAGUAACGCGUAUGCGACCUGCCCGUUGCAGGGGGAUAAUCGGGAGAAAUCCCGUCUAAUACCGCGUAACGCCGCGGGGCUGCAUGGCCCUGCGGCCAAAGGAAGCGAUUCCGGCAACGGAUGGGCAUGCGUGACAUUAGCUAGUUGGCGGGGCAACGGCCCACCAAGGCGACGAUGUCUAGGGGUUCUGAGAGGAAGGUCCCCCACACUGGUACUGAGACACGGACCAGACUCCUACGGGAGGCAGCAGUGAGGAAUAUUGGUCAAUGGGCGCGAGCCUGAACCAGCCAAGUCGCGUGAGGGAUGACGGCCCUACGGGUUGUAAACCUCUUUUGUCGGGGAGCAAAUUCCGCCACGUGUGGCGGAGUCGAGAGUACCCGAAGAAAAAGCAUCGGCUAACUCCGUGCCAGCAGCCGCGGUAAUACGGAGGAUGCGAGCGUUAUCCGGAUUUAUUGGGUUUAAAGGGUGCGUAGGCGGACUGUCAAGUCAGCGGUAAAAUACGGGGGCUCAACCUCCGCCCGCCGUUGAAACUGACGGUCUUGAGUGGGCGAGAAGUAUGCGGAAUGCGUGGUGUAGCGGUGAAAUGCAUAGAUAUCACGCAGAACUCCGAUUGCGAAGGCAGCAUACCGGCGCCCAACUGACGCUGAAGCACGAAAGCGUGGGUAUCGAACAGGAUUAGAUACCCUGGUAGUCCACGCAGUAAACGAUGAAUACUAGCUGUCCGGGGCGAAUGAGCCCUGGGUGGCACAGCGAAAGCGUUAAGUAUUCCACCUGGGGAGUACGCCGGCAACGGUGAAACUCAAAGGAAUUGACGGGGGCCCGCACAAGCGGAGGAACAUGUGGUUUAAUUCGAUGAUACGCGAGGAACCUUACCCGGGCUCAAACGACACAGGAACGGUCCUGAAAGGGGUCGGCUCUACGGAGCCUGUGUCGAGGUGCUGCAUGGUUGUCGUCAGCUCGUGCCGUGAGGUGUCGGCUUAAGUGCCAUAACGAGCGCAACCCCCAUCGACAGUUGCUAACAGGUCAGGCUGAGGACUCUGUCGAGACUGCCGGCGCAAGCUGCGAGGAAGGCGGGGAUGACGUCAAAUCAGCACGGCCCUUACGUCCGGGGCGACACACGUGUUACAAUGGCAGGUACAGCGGGAAGCCACCUGGCGACAGGGAGCGGAACCCGAAAGCCUGUCUCAGUUCGGAUUGGAGUCUGCAACCCGACUCCAUGAAGCUGGAUUCGCUAGUAAUCGCGCAUCAGCCACGGCGCGGUGAAUACGUUCCCGGGCCUUGUACACACCGCCCGUCA